Molecule: unclassified non-coding RNA, 200 nt
Filed under: soil metagenome
Description: partial contains internal transcribed spacer 2 and large subunit ribosomal RNA
Source: RNAcentral
GUUCGAGCGCCGUUUUAAAUAUUAAGACUUUGUCUUUUGUUGAUAUUCUCACUUUACAGUGAUUUAUCUAAAUAUUUUGGCGUGUUUAAUAGCUUCAAAAAACGCAGUGAAAAUGUGUUUUAUUAUCUAUCAAAUACUUGCCUUGUUUUAUUUUACAUAAACAUGGCCUCGGAUCAAAUAGGGAUACCCGCUGAACUUAA